AGAUCUGGACAGCCUCUUAUCACUUUGUGUGGAAAAGAGCAGCGUGAACAUCCUGACUGACAUUUCUCUAUGGACGACAGAAAAUCUGGUUUGGAAGAAGAUGAAGACCGAUGUACCGGUGUGAUGCCGCGCUAAUGAACAUGUCUGUCUGUUCCUGCCUCUGCUCGUCCCUCUGGGUCCAGGUCACCUCAGAAACACACACACACACACACACACACACACACACACUAUAUAUAUAUAUAUAUAUAUA
Long non-coding RNA from Puntigrus tetrazona (Sumatra barb), 250 nucleotides. RefSeq lists it as uncharacterized. The record is from RefSeq and is a predicted model, not a curated record. Lineage: Eukaryota; Metazoa; Chordata; Actinopteri; Cypriniformes; Cyprinidae. The transcript is spliced from 3 exons.